Molecule: ribosomal RNA, 411 nt
Filed under: Panchlora sp. 1 DJGI-2006
Lineage: Eukaryota; Metazoa; Arthropoda; Insecta; Blattodea; Blaberidae
Description: partial 12S ribosomal RNA
Source: RNAcentral
GGAUUAGAUACCCUAUUAUUUCAGAUUUAAAAUUUUAUAUGCUUAGGUAGUAUUAGAUAUGGGCUUGAAACCUAAAGAAUUUGGCGGUAUUUUAGUCUUUUUAGAGGAAUCUGUCCCUUAAUCGAUAAUCCACGUUGAACCUUACUUGAUUUAAUCAGUCUGUAUAUCGCCGUUUUUGAAAAUCUUUUUAGAGAAUUUUCUUAAUAUAAAAUUUUAUAAGAAUUCAGGUCAAGGUGCAGUUUAUGAUCAAGUGGAGAUGGAUUACAUUAUAUUCAUUAAAACGGAUUAAAUUUUGUAAUUUAAUUUAUGAAGGUGGAUUUAAUAGUAAUUAUUUAAAGAUUAUUAUUUUGACUUUGGCUCUAAAAUGUGUACACAUCGCCCGUCACUCUCAUUAUUAAGAUGAGAUAAGUC